GUCGCGGCAAAAUCCGUGACCGGGUUUAGCAGCCUGAAACCAGAAUGGCGCACAAGCGCCCCUCUCGAUGGCGCUUUUUUU
Molecule: small RNA, 81 nt
Filed under: Salinicola sp. MIT1003
Lineage: Bacteria; Pseudomonadati; Pseudomonadota; Gammaproteobacteria; Oceanospirillales; Halomonadaceae
Description: isrK Hfq binding RNA
Rfam family: isrK Hfq binding RNA
Source: Rfam by way of RNAcentral